Molecule: non-coding RNA, 163 nt
Filed under: Parvimonas parva
Lineage: Bacteria; Bacillati; Bacillota; Tissierellia; Tissierellales; Peptoniphilaceae
Also listed under: 1 other name
Description: Lysine riboswitch
Rfam family: Lysine riboswitch aptamer
About the family: Riboswitches are metabolite binding domains within certain messenger RNAs that serve as precision sensors for their corresponding targets. Allosteric rearrangement of mRNA structure is mediated by ligand binding, and this results in modulation of gene expression.
Source: RNAcentral
GAAGAUAGAGGAGCGAAACUUAUCAGUAGCUGAUUAAAUGGAUUAAAGCGUCCACAGUGAAAGGAAUUUUCGCCGAAGUGUAUGGCUUGCUUUAGGGUCAUAUUGCUGGGCGUUCACAGAAUAUGUGUUCGACUGUCACGAUUUUUAUUGUGUUGGGCUAUCA